Molecule: ribosomal RNA, 484 nt
Filed under: uncultured bacterium
Lineage: Bacteria
Description: partial 16S ribosomal RNA
Rfam family: Bacterial small subunit ribosomal RNA
Source: RNAcentral
AUUGAACGCUGGCGGCAGGCCUAACACAUGCAAGUCGAGCGGAUGAAGGGAGCUUGCUCCUGGAUUCAGUGGCGGACGGGUGAGUAAUGCCUAGGAAUCUGCCCGGUCGUGGGGGAUAACGUCCGGAAACGGGCGCUAAUACCGCAUACGUCCUGAGGGUGAAAGUGGGGGAUCUUCGGACCUCACGCUACUUGAUGAGCCUAGGUCGGAUUAGCUAGUUGGUGGGGUAAAGGCCUACCAAGGCGACGAUCCGUAACUGGUCUGAGAGGAUGAUCAGUCACACUGGAACUGAGACACGGUCCAGACUCCUACGGGAGGCAGCAGUGGGGAAUAUUGGACAAUGGGCGAAAGCCUGAUCCAGCCAUGCCGCGUGUGUGAAGAAGGUCUUCGGAUUGUAAAGCACUGUAAGUUGGGAAGAAGGGAAGUAAAUGAAUACGUUGCUGUUUUGACGUUACCAACAGAGAAAGCACCGGCUAACUACGUG